RNAcentral lists this long non-coding RNA (390 nucleotides) under Numida meleagris (helmeted guineafowl). RNAcentral describes it as "lncRNA (ENSNMEG00000011457.1)". Lineage: Eukaryota; Metazoa; Chordata; Aves; Galliformes; Numididae. The record is from RNAcentral.
UAUUAAGGCAGUUUGCCAAAAGACUGAUGUCAAGAUUUGGCUAAAGUACCUUUUACAGUUUAUCUGGAUAAUUUUGAUGCCAGUUCUAUUUUUCCAGUGUACCCGUUGACCACCUUGUAUCAUCAAGAAAUAUCAUUAUCCAAAUCAUGAAUGAAACACUGAAUGGAACUGUGAGCAGAACUUUUCUAUAAAGAACUAAAAUGGUUUGAUAUCAAAAAGGUCAAUUAUCUCUAUAAUUCUAAGCCAGGAAACUCCACCAUUUGUCUGAAAACAAACACUGAACCAGGAACCUCACAGAAGCCUGUGCUCUCCCAUUGACUGGAAGAUGCUGCUGUAGUGGCCUCAACAAGAUCUUGGUUUUCAUGACAGCUGGUUAAGGUAUGUGCUAUA